This is a long non-coding RNA of Oncorhynchus tshawytscha (Chinook salmon), 1538 nucleotides long. The record is from Ensembl. NCBI's taxonomy places the organism in Eukaryota, Metazoa, Chordata, Actinopteri, Salmoniformes, Salmonidae.
UGUGAAAACUAAAAUGUUUAUUGAGCAGAAACAUGCUUUAAUCAAAAAUAUCUCUGGAACAGUAGCAAGGUCAAUGGGUCAAAGGUCAGAAUAUCUCUGGAACAGUAGCAAGGUCAAUGGGUCAAAGGUCAGAAUAUCUCUGGAACAGUAGCAAGGUCAAUGGGUCAAAGGUCAGAAUAUCUCUGGAACAGUAGCAAGGUCAAUGGGUCAAAGGUCAGAAUAUCUCUGGAACAGUAGCAAGGUCAAUGGGUCAAAGGUCAGAAUAUCUCUGGAACAGUAGCAAGGUCAAUGGGUCAGAGGUCAGCACCCCCCGAAACAAAACAAACGUAAAGAGUAGAAAGCAACAGCAAGCAGGGUUCGCUCUGCCAUGAUCACAUCUCAGGAGGGGUUAUAGGUGUCUGUAGUAGAGGAGGAGGAGGGUUAUAGGUGUCUGUAGUAGAGGAGGAGGAGGGGUUAUAGGUGUCUGUAGUAGAGGAGGAGGGGUUAUAGGUGUCUGUAGUAGAGGAGGAGGGGGUUAUAGGUGUCUGUAGUAGAGGAGGAGGGUUAUAGGUGUCUGUAGUAGAGGAGGAGGAGGGGUUAUAGGUGUCUGUAGUAGAGGAGGGGGUUAUAGGUGUCUGUAGUAGAGGAGGAGGAGGGGUUAUAGGUGUCUGUAGUAGAGGAGGAGGAGGGGUUAUAGGUGUCUGUAGUAGAGGAGGAGGGGUUAUAGGUGUCUGUAGUAGAGGAGGAGGGGUUAUAGGUGUCUGUAGUAGAGGAGGAGGGGGUUAUAGGUGUCUGUAGUAGAGGAGGAGGGGGUUAUAGGUGUCUGUAGUAGAGGAGGAGGGUUAUAGGUGUCUGUAGUAGAGGAGGAGGAGGGUUAUAGGUGUCUGUAGUAGAGGAGGAGGAGGGGUUAUAGGUGUCUGUAGUAGAGGGGGAGGAGGGGUUAUAGGUGUCUGUAGUAGAGGAGGAGGGGGGUUAUAGGUGUCUGUAGUAGAGGAGGGGGGUUAUAGGUGUCUGUAGUAGAGGAGGAGGGGUUAUAGGUGUCUGUGUCUUAGUAGAGGGAGGGGUUAUAGGUGUCUGUAGUAGAGGAGGAGGGGUUAUAGGUGUCUGUAGUAGAGGAGGAGGGGUUAUAGGUGUCUGUAGUAGAGGAGGAGGGGUUAUAGGUGUCUGUAGUAGAGGAGGAGGAGGGGUUAUAGGUGUCUGUAGUAGAGGAGGAGGAGGGGUUAUAGGUGUCUGUAGUAGAGGAGGAGGAGGGGUUAUAGGUGUCUGUAGUAGAGGAGGAGGGGUUAUAGGUGUCUGUAGUAGAGGAGGAGGGUUAUAGGUGUCUGUAGUAGAGGAGGGGGAGGGUUAUAGGUGUCUGUAGUAGAGGAGGAGGGGUUAUAGGUGUCUGUAGUAGAGGAGGAGGGGUUAUAGGUGUCUGUAGUAGAGGAGGAGGGGUUAUAGGUGUCUGUAGUAGAGGAGGAGGAGGGUUAUAGGUGUCUGUAGUAGCGAGGGGGUCCAUAGUGCAUGGGCAUGUUGACGUCUAUAUUGUUCAGGUUGUUGUUGACCUGGUUGGGGGGUGG